Long non-coding RNA from Malaclemys terrapin pileata, 471 nucleotides. RefSeq lists it as uncharacterized. NCBI's taxonomy places the organism in Eukaryota, Metazoa, Chordata, Testudines, Emydidae. The record is from RefSeq and is a predicted model, not a curated record. The transcript is spliced from 3 exons.
CUGGAAAGAAGAAAAAGACAGCCGUGAAAUAUUCAGCUGAUUACGGUGCCACAUGACUGACAGAUACUAAGACAGAAUCAGGAUGAAUAGAAGAGGCCUCUAAUGUCAUCCAUGCUAAAUAGGCUAUUGCAUGCAUGUUGAGGGAGAGAAACUAUAAAUAGAAGGGUGCACAUUAUGCCCCUUACAUGUUGAUGUUCCAAGCAACUGUCUGUUUGUUUUCUAUCUGCCCUGCAAAAACAGCAAACCAUGGAAGAGAGAGAACCUGUUCCAAGUGUCCAUUUGUGGAUUUCUAAUUCCUUGGACACAGCAUAGAGGGAGGAUGAGGAUACUGAAAAAAUCCAGCAGUGCCCACAUUUGAUCCAACCUCCUUGACAACAGCAGAAAUGAGCUGCAUGAACAAAGAUGAGUUUGUUGCUGACCAAGAACUGAAAGCUUUGUUUUGUAAGUCUCUCUGAAUGUAUCACACUUUGC